RNAcentral lists this ribosomal RNA (253 nucleotides) under uncultured bacterium. RNAcentral's name for it is "partial 16S ribosomal RNA". It matches the Rfam family "Bacterial small subunit ribosomal RNA", at positions 524 to 776 of the family's 1533-position model. The record is from RNAcentral.
CACGUAGGGUCCGAGCGUUGUCCGGAAUUACUGGGCGUAAAGCGUGCGCAGGCGGUUUUGUAAGCCAGAGGUGAAAUCCCCGGGCUUAACCUGGGAAUGGCAUUUGGGACUGCAAGGCUGGAGUGUGGCAGAGGAGACUGGAAUUCCUGGUGUAGCAGUGAAAUGCGUAGAUAUCAGGAGGAAUACCGAUGGCGAAGGCAGGUCUCUGGGCUGACACUGACGCUCAUGCACGAAAGCGUGGGGAGCAAACCGG